RNAcentral lists this ribosomal RNA (397 nucleotides) under uncultured bacterium. RNAcentral describes it as "partial 16S ribosomal RNA". It matches the Rfam family "Bacterial small subunit ribosomal RNA", at positions 360 to 774 of the family's 1533-position model. The record is from RNAcentral.
AAUCUUUCGCUAGGGGCGAAUGCCUGACGCAGCCAUACAGCGUGAAUGAUGAAGAUCUUAGGAUUGUAAAAUUCUUUCACCGGGGACGAUAAUGACGGUACCCUGAGAAGAAGCCCUGGCUAUCUUCGUGCUAGCAGCCGCGGUAUUACGAAGGGGGCUAGUGUUGCUCGGAAUUACGGGGCGUAAAGGGCGCGUAGGCGGAUCGUUAAUUCAGGGGUGAAAUCCCGGGGCUCAACCUCGGAACUGCCCUUGAUACUGGCGAUCUUGAGAAUGAGAGAGGUAUGUGGAACUCCGAGUGUAGAGGUGAAAUUCGUAGAUAUUCGGAAGAACACCAGUGGCGAAGGCGACAUACUGGCUCAUUACUGACGCUGAGGCGCGAAAGCGUGGGGAGCAAACA